RNAcentral lists this ribosomal RNA (484 nucleotides) under uncultured bacterium. RNAcentral's name for it is "partial 16S ribosomal RNA". It matches the Rfam family "Bacterial small subunit ribosomal RNA", at positions 30 to 507 of the family's 1533-position model. The record is from RNAcentral.
AUUGAACGCUGGCGGCAGGCCUAACACAUGCCAGUCGAGCGGAUGAAGGGAGCUUGCUCCUGUAUUCAGCGGCGGACUGGUGUGUAAUGCCUUGGAUUCUGCCUGGUAGUGGUUGAUAACGUCCGUAAACGGGCGCUAAUACCGCAUACGUCCUGAGGGAGAAAGUUGGGGAUCUUCGGACCUCACGCUAUCAUAUGAGCCUAGGUCGUAUUAGCUAGUUGUGGGGGUAAAGGCCUACCAAGGCGACGAUCCGUAACUGGUCUGAGAGGAUGAUCAGUCACACUGGAAAUGAGACACGGACCAGACUCCUACGGGAGGCAGCAGAGGGGAAUAUUGGAAAAUGGGGGAAAGCAUGAUCCAGCCAUGCCGCGUGUGUGAAGAAGGUCUUAGGAUUGUAAAGCACUUUAAGUUGGGAGGAAGGGCAGUAAGUUAAUACCUUGCUGUAUUGACGUUACCAAAAGAAUAAGCACCGGCUAACUACGUG